This 443-nucleotide ribosomal RNA is filed under the name uncultured bacterium. Its description in RNAcentral is "partial 16S ribosomal RNA". It matches the Rfam family "Bacterial small subunit ribosomal RNA", at positions 338 to 795 of the family's 1533-position model. The record is from RNAcentral.
CCUACGGGCGGCAGCAGUGGGGAAUAUUGGGCAAUGGAGGAAACUCUGACCCAGCAACGCCGCGUGAAUGAUGAAGGUCUUCGGAUUGUAAAGUUCUUUUCUAAGGGAAGAAGAAAGUGACGGUACCUGACUAAGAAGCCCCGGCUAACUACGUGCCAGCAGCCGCGGUAAUACGUAGGGGGCAAGCGUUAUCCGGAUUUACUGGGUGUAAAGGGAGCGUAGACGGCAGCGCAAGUCUGGAGUGAAAUCCCAUGGCUUAACCAUGGAACUGCUUUGGAAACUGUGCAGCUGGAGUGCAGGAGAGGUAAGCGGAAUUCCUAGUGUAGCGGUGAAAUGCGUAGAUAUUAGGAGGAACACCAGUGGCGAAGGCGGCUUACUGGACUGUAACUGACGUUGAGGCUCGAAAGCGUGGGGAGCAAACAGGAUUAGAUACCCCUGUAGUC